CACAUCCUGCAUAUGGAAAUUAAAACACUGACUGGGUUUUUUUAAUUUGCAUUUGGUCUGGUGUUUUAGGUCCCUCAUGAUAGACUGCCUCUCUGUUGUGUUAAAAUAUUGCAAAGGUGAUGGUUUUUGAAUGAUCCACCUCUCUAAGUGGCUGUAAUUUCAUUGCAAGUCCUCUGACAUCUUUUCUGGCUGAGAUUGGAAGAAAUCAGACCUAGAAAUUCAGAAUAAAGGAAUACACAAUUUCAUUCAGCUCCUUUUGGUGUUGGAACCAAACACAAGAGUCUAAUUAUUGAAAUAUUAUUAUUAAACAAUGUUUAAUAUUAUCCUCCUUUUUUCCAGCUGUAACUUGUGGUAAUUGGUCUCUGAAUGGAUUUUCUGUGGUGCUCAGAAUUUGACCCUUAAUGCCAGCAUUAGAUGGACAGUGGAAAGCUUGUAAAUUUUCAAGGUCUUCAGCCCUCUGUUGUCACAAGGUAAUGACUGGAAAGAAUACAAUGAAGGCCUUUAUCUUCACAUGAGAAUUAAAAGCCAUUAAUGCCACACAAAGCUUUCCCUUGGGAAAGUGACCAGAAGCAGCCUGUAGCUGACAUUGGCAACCUCUGGGGAGAAAAACAGAAGUGGGAGCUGACUGAAGCAUGAACAACUUCUAGAUGAAACACAUGUCUCAUGGAAAGUGGAUUACUUUUUUUUUUUUCCCAAGCAAACCUUCCCCUCUAUUUCAACUGCUGUAGCAAAUCUUAUUGCUAGUGGUACAAAGAAAAUAAAAUUCAUUUAAUUCACA
RNAcentral lists this long non-coding RNA (778 nucleotides) under Junco hyemalis (dark-eyed junco). Its description in RNAcentral is "lncRNA (ENSJHYG00000005105.1)". The record is from RNAcentral. Lineage: Eukaryota; Metazoa; Chordata; Aves; Passeriformes; Passerellidae.